This 75-nucleotide transfer RNA is filed under the name Carboxydocella thermautotrophica. RNAcentral describes it as "tRNA-Arg". It matches the Rfam family "tRNA". Rfam says of the family: Transfer RNA (tRNA) molecules are approximately 80 nucleotides in length. Their secondary structure includes four short double-helical elements and three loops (D, anti-codon, and T loops). The record is from RNAcentral. Lineage: Bacteria; Bacillati; Bacillota; Clostridia; Eubacteriales; Clostridiales Family XVI. Incertae Sedis. RNAcentral also lists the same sequence under 2 other names.
GUCCUCGUAGCACAACGGAUAGUGCAACCGCCUCCUAAGCGGUAGAUUCAGGUUCGACUCCUGACGAGGACACCA